UAAUAUGCUUGGCUUCUAUCAACCUACUGGAUUCUGCAUCUUUGAUGGUAGCUUAUUCUAGCAAACUAAUUUGCUGUAACAUCAAGGCAUCUAAUAAUAAAUAAAGCUUUUACUGUUUAAUUUUCUUUUGAGUGGUUUUUACCUCCCUCCCCCCCCCAAAGCCCCAGAAUAAUAUCCAAACCUACAUAAUGCAACGGAAGCAAUCACAUACAGCCCCCCCCCCCCCCCCCCUCUUCCCUUUUUUUCUUGUUUUAUUUUGUGCUUAAAGUUAAUCUGUAAUGUUAGAUCCAUCUUGCAAGCUGUGUUCCACGACAGCCAGGGCUAUUUUAUAAAAUGAUAAUUUCUACUA
RNAcentral lists this long non-coding RNA (349 nucleotides) under Jatropha curcas. RNAcentral describes it as "long non-coding RNA (JCUR_LNC000346)". The record is from RNAcentral. Lineage: Eukaryota; Viridiplantae; Streptophyta; Magnoliopsida; Malpighiales; Euphorbiaceae.